This 291-nucleotide ribosomal RNA is filed under the name Triticum aestivum (bread wheat). Its description in RNAcentral is "partial small subunit ribosomal RNA". The record is from RNAcentral. Lineage: Eukaryota; Viridiplantae; Streptophyta; Magnoliopsida; Poales; Poaceae.
AUGUCUACAUCAGAGGGUUCGGAGAGUGCUGAUUCCAUGGAUGAGGAUACGAGUCAAGUACCACAUGCUAGAAGGUCCAAGGCAUGGGAGCAUUAUGAAGCAGAUCUGGUUCUCGUAGAGGGUGAUCUCAAGGCUGUGUGCAAAUACUGUGGAGUGCAACUUCACACCAAGUUUGGGACAAGAAGUUUGAGGACCCAUAUUGCAGAGGCUUGCCGAUCAAUUCCGGAUGCUUGCAGGAAGAGGUUUUUGUUGACCAUGAAAAAAAACAUUCGAAGGUCUGUUUGUGUUUGA